This 211-nucleotide long non-coding RNA is filed under the name Elaeis guineensis (African oil palm). RNAcentral's name for it is "long non-coding RNA (EGUI_LNC064350)". Lineage: Eukaryota; Viridiplantae; Streptophyta; Magnoliopsida; Arecales; Arecaceae. The record is from RNAcentral.
UUUCACUCUGCCAUGGCCAUGGGCUUAAGGACUCAAUCUUUCGAUCAUCAUAGGACUACUCCUCUUAUCUACCGAGGUUGAUAGAUCCUAUCUUGGUGCAAUCUGAUUUUUACAAUGAAUAUGCUACAGCCAACAUACACCUCAGGGUUCUGAAUGGCUAGGAGAUCGAGUUAUGGUGUAGUCAAACUAUAACACACUCAAAGUGAACUGU